UACGUAGGGGGCGAGCGUUGUCCGGAAUUACUGGGUGUAAAGGGCGUGUAGGCGGGGAUGCAAGUUAUCGGUUAAAACCCAAGGCUCAACCUUGGGCUUGCCGGUAAAACUGUGUCUCUUGAGUAUAGGAGAGGGAAGUGGAAUUCCCGGAGUAGCGGUGAAAUGCGUAGAUACCGGGAGGAACACCAGUGGCGAAGGCGGCUUCCUGGCCUAUCACUGACGCUGAGGCGCGAAAGCUAGGGUAGCGAACGGGAUUAGAUACC
Molecule: ribosomal RNA, 263 nt
Filed under: uncultured bacterium
Lineage: Bacteria
Description: partial 16S ribosomal RNA
Rfam family: Bacterial small subunit ribosomal RNA
Source: RNAcentral